UACAGAGGUCCCGAGCGUUGUUCGGAUUCAUUGGGCGUAAAGGGGGCGUAGGCGGGGGGGCAGGUCGGUGGUGAAAUCCCGGGGCUCAACCCCGGAACUGCAUUGGAUACUGCCUUGCUUGAGUACUGGAGAGGGAACUGGAAUUUACGUUGUAGCAGUGAAAUGCGUAGAUAUUGGGAGGAACACCUGCGGCGAAGGCGGCUACCUGGACAGAAACUGACGCUGAGGCGCGAAAGCUAGGGGAGCGAACGGG
RNAcentral lists this ribosomal RNA (253 nucleotides) under uncultured bacterium. RNAcentral describes it as "partial 16S ribosomal RNA". It matches the Rfam family "Bacterial small subunit ribosomal RNA", at positions 524 to 776 of the family's 1533-position model. The record is from RNAcentral.